UCUAAAGUUGGGUUUUUGGUGGA
RNAcentral lists this non-coding RNA (23 nucleotides) under Arabidopsis thaliana (thale cress). Lineage: Eukaryota; Viridiplantae; Streptophyta; Magnoliopsida; Brassicales; Brassicaceae. The record is from RNAcentral.